AGUGAACGCUGGCGGUAGGCCUAACACAUGCAAGUCGAACGGCAGCACAGUAAGAGCUUGCUCUUACGGGUGGCGAGUGGCGGACGGGUGAGGAAUACAUCGGAAUCUACUUUUUCGUGGGGGAUAACGUAGGGAAACUUACGCUAAUACCGCAUACGACCUACGGGUGAAAGCAGUGGAUCUUCGGACCUUGCGCGAUUGAAUGAGCCGAUGUCGGAUUAGCUAGUUGGCGGGGUAAAGGCCCACCAAGGCGACGAUCCGUAGCUGGUCUGAGAGGCUGAUCAGCCACACUGGAACUGAGACACGGUCCAGACUCCUACGGGAGGCAGCAGUGGGGAAUAUUGGACAAUGGGCGCAAGCCUGAUCCAGCCAUACCGCGUGGGUGAAGAAGGCGUUCGGGUUGUAAAGACCUUUUGUUGGGAAAGAAAAGCAGCAGGUUAAUACCCCGCUGUUCUGACGGUAACCAAAGAAUAAGCACCGGCUAACUUCGUG
Molecule: ribosomal RNA, 492 nt
Filed under: uncultured bacterium
Lineage: Bacteria
Description: partial 16S ribosomal RNA
Rfam family: Bacterial small subunit ribosomal RNA
Source: RNAcentral